GAUGAACGCUGGCGGCGUGCUUAACACAUGCAAGUCGAACGAAGCGCUUUAAUCGAUUUCUUCGGAUUGAAAUUUUAGUGACUGAGUGGCGGACGGGUGAGUAACGCGUGGGUAACCUGCCUUAUACAGGGGGAUAACAGUUAGAAAUGACUGCUAAUACCGCAUAAGCGCACAGGAUUGCAUGAUCUAGUGUGAAAAACUCCGGUGGUGUGAGAUGGACCCGCGUCUGAUUAGCUAGUUGGCAGGGCAACGGCCUACCAAGGCGACGAUCAGUAGCCGACCUGAGAGGGUGACCGGCCACAUUGGGACUGAGACACGGGCCCAAAACUCCUACGGGAGGCAGCAGUGGGGAAUAUUGCACAAUGGGGGGAAACCCUGAUGCAGCGACGCCGCGUGAGCGAAGAAGUAUUUCGGUAUGUAAAGCUCUAUCAGUAGGGAAGAAGAAAUGACGGUACCUGACUAAGAAGCACCGGCUAAAUACGUGCCAGCA
This 490-nucleotide ribosomal RNA is filed under the name uncultured bacterium. RNAcentral describes it as "bacterial SSU rRNA". It matches the Rfam family "Bacterial small subunit ribosomal RNA", at positions 28 to 513 of the family's 1533-position model. The record is from RNAcentral.